RNA transcript from Pipistrellus kuhlii (Kuhl's pipistrelle), 2049 nucleotides. It is a transcript of the gene named programmed cell death 5, with no coding region annotated. The record is from RefSeq and is a predicted model, not a curated record. The transcript has 6 exons. Lineage: Eukaryota; Metazoa; Chordata; Mammalia; Chiroptera; Vespertilionidae.
GGCUCCGCGCUGGAUUGGUGAUGCCUGGGAGUUGCGGCGCCUGCGCAGAGGGUAGGGCUGCGUUCACUGGGCCCGGCCGUGGGCGAUAACUCGGAGCGGGCCGGAGCGGGUGGUGGCUGUCCUGCCCCGACGGUCGCACCAUGGCGGAGGAGGAGCUGGAGGCUCUGCGGAAGCAGAGGCUGGCGGAGCUGCAGGCCAAGCACGGGGAUCCUGGAGAUGCAGCACAACAGGAAGCCAAGCACAGAGAAGCAGAAAUGAGAAACAGUAUCUUAGCUCAAGUUCUGGACCAGUCAGCCCGGGCCCGGUUAAGUAACUUAGCACUUGUAAAGCCUGAAAAAACUAAAGGAGUAGAGAAUUACCUUAUACAGAUGGCAAGAUAUGGACAACUAAAUGGGAAGGUAGCAUCUACCCUGAUGUUCAGGAAAUGCCUAGAAAAAGGACUGGCUUUGGAACAUGAGACAUGAAAGAAACUACCAGAGGUUGCUCCUCUCCAGUUGGUGAGUGGAGGAGGCCUGACCUUGAAGGUAAUGCGAAGAUUCAUCAUCUCAACCAACCAGAACACUAAUACAGAAAUAUCUGAUAAAUUAGGGUGUAACAUGUAUUUCUUCGGGCCUAUCUCCCCUCAGUCAGGAUUAUAAUUACAUUGUACAUUUACAAUGAAAUGAAAACCAGCAACUACUCAUGAACUUCCAAUAACCCAAGUUGAGAAUUAUAGAAAGAAGUUCUUACAUUUUUUCCUGAUCUUCACGGUAACGUACUCCUUGUGGUCUGUUUCGCCAACUUCAUCUAACGUGGCCACACAGCUUGGUACUACCUGAAGUAAUUCCAUUAUUUUUGAAUUCUAUAAUUUGAAAGGGAAAAAUUAACAGUAAUAUUUUUUUUAUUAUUUUCAACAGUUAAUUGCCUAUUUUUUAUAUAAAUGUCAGUAUUAGGAUAGCUGGACAGCAGAGCUAAGAAAAAGCAACUACAGAUGAAACUUUGAGGCCAUAGUGUAAAGCAGCCCUACACUCGAAGCCAGGCUCCGCCCUCUGCUAGGCACUCAGGGUGAGCACUUGGCUGCUCUGUGCAACUAGGCUGACAACAAUGGGAUCGAUAAUUUUAGUUAUCAAGAGGCUAUCCAAGGCCCAGCACAUAGUAAGUCCUCAAUAAAAACAUUCAUCAGAAUGUUUGAGAAAGUGCUCAACUAAAAAUUUAAAAUAUUCAAUACUGUUAAGAAAUGUCUGAAACUUAAAAUUCAUUGAAUAAGUCUAUGAGUAUGUUGGCUUUCUGUGACUUUAACAUGUCAGUAGUAUCAUUUAACAGCCUACUAGUUGUCUACCCAAGUGGGCGACUAGAUAAAGAUUCAACAUGAAAACAGGAACAGUAAACAUGGUAAACAUGGCGGCACUGGGAAUGGUCCCAGGCCAUCACAAUUGUCCUGCAGAAUUCAAGGACUUUUAAAGCCACCAACUGAACAAACUUCCUCCAUCGUGCUGUUAAGACCACAGGUGUAUUUCCAAUGCAGGGAGGGGGCGGCCAGAAUGCUGUCUAAACCUGCUACUUCUCUGGGAGGACCUGACUGCCCGUCAGGGGGCAGACUAGGGCUCAGACUGCGGCUGGGAGAGGAGCACCUCUCCUCAGGCCUUGGAAAACGACCCCUGAAGGACUGGCUCCUGGAUCCCGAGCAGCCCACUGUCCAGGUGGCAGGUUAACCAUAUUGGCAGACUUCUAGCAAUUCACAGGUCUGCCAUUUCAGAUCUGGUUUACACACAAGGCCUAUCCAAAGUGAGCGGGGAGGGGGUGCCGCCCGCUCACCUGCUCAGCGUAGUCCCUCGCGGUGCACUGCCUCUUGUUCAAGAGCUGGACCGACGCCCCGUGCAGCAGCAGCAGCUCCACGACCAGGACGUGCUUCUCCAGCACAGCCUCGUGCAGGGCUGUGUUGCCCUUGUUGUCAGAGGCGUUGAUGGAGGCCCCAUGCUGGAAAGAGGCAGCACAAUCAGAAGGGACGCCGAAGACGGUGCUGAUGCAGAACCUCGACGGGUGUUCACUCUAAGAUUCUUUCAACUUUUC